Molecule: ribosomal RNA, 908 nt
Filed under: uncultured bacterium
Lineage: Bacteria
Description: bacterial SSU rRNA
Rfam family: Bacterial small subunit ribosomal RNA
Source: RNAcentral
ACGCUGGCGGCAGGCUUAACACAUGCAAGUCGAACGGUAACAGGGAUUAGCUUGCUAAUCUGCUGACGAGUGGCGGACGGGUGAGUAAUGCUUGGGAAUCUGGCUUAUGGAGGGGGAUAACUACGGGAAACUGUAGCUAAUACCGCGUAAAAUCUUCGGAUUAAAGGGUGGGACUUUCGAGCCACCUGCCAUAAGAUGAGCCCAAGUGGGAUUAGGUAGUUGGUUAGGUAAAGGCUGACCAAGCCGACGAUCUCUAGCUGGUCUGAGAGGAUGACCAGCCACACUGGAACUGAGACACGGUCCAGACUCCUACGGGAGGCAGCAGUGGGGAAUAUUGCACAAUGGGGGGAACCCUGAUGCAGCCAUGCCGCGUGAAUGAAGAAGGCCUUCGGGUUGUAAAGUUCUUUCGGUGACGAGGAAGGUUGAUAGGUUAAUAGCCUAUCAAAUUGACGUUAAUCACAGAAGAAGCACCGGCUAACUCCGUGCCAGCAGCCGCGGUAAUACGGGGGGUGCGAGCGUUAAUCGGAAUAACUGGGCGUAAAGGGCACGCAGGCGGUGACUUAAGUGAGAUGUGAAAGCCCCGAGCUUAACUUGGGAAUUGCAUUUCAUACUGGGUCGCUAGAGUACUUUAGGGAGGGGUAGAAUUCCACGUGUAGCGGUGAAAUGCGUAGAGAUGUGGAGGAAUACCGAAGGCGAAGGCAGCCCCUUGGGAAUGUACUGACGCUCAUGUGCGAAAGCGUGGGGAGCAAACAGGAUUAGAUACCCUGGUAGUCCACGCUGUAAACGAUGUCGAUUUGGGGAUUGGGCUUUGAGCUUGGUGCCCGUAGCUAACGUGAUAAAUCGACCGCCUGGGGAGUACGGCCGCAAGGUUAAAACUCAAAUGAAUUGACGGGGGCCCGCACAAGCGG